GGACGAAAGUCUGACGGAGCAACGCCGCGUGUAUGAUGAAGGUCUUCGGAUUGUAAAGUACUGUCAUUGGGGAAGAACGGUCUUCUUGAAAAUAUUGAGGAGACAUGACGGUACCCAAGGAGGAAGCCCCGGCUAACUACGUGCCAGCAGCCGCGGUAAUACGUAGGGGGCGAGCGAUGUCCGGAAUUAUUGGGCGUAAAGGGCGCGUAGGCGGAUGCUUAAGUCCGGUGUGAAAGAUCAGGGCUCAACCCUGAGAGUGCAUCGGAAACUGGGUAUCUUGAGGACAGGAGAGGAAAGUGGAAUUCCACGUGUAGCGGUGAAAUGCGUAGAUAUGUGGAGGAACACCAGUGGCGAAGGCGACUUUCUGGACUGUAACUGACGCUGAGGCGCGAAAGCGUGGGGAGCAAACAGGAUUAGAUACCCUGGUAGUCCACGCCGUAAACGAUGAGUGCUAGGUGUAGAGGGUAUCGACCCCUUCUGUGCCGCAGUUAACACAAUAAGCACUCCGCCUGGGGAGUA
This 519-nucleotide ribosomal RNA is filed under the name uncultured bacterium. Its description in RNAcentral is "bacterial SSU rRNA". It matches the Rfam family "Bacterial small subunit ribosomal RNA", at positions 373 to 882 of the family's 1533-position model. The record is from RNAcentral.